Molecule: unclassified non-coding RNA, 516 nt
Filed under: uncultured Glomeromycotina
Lineage: Eukaryota; Fungi; Glomeromycota
Description: SSU rRNA
Rfam family: Eukaryotic small subunit ribosomal RNA
Source: RNAcentral
CCGCGGUAAUUCCAGCUCCAAUAGCGUAUAUUAAAGUUGUUGCAGUUAAAAAGCUCGUAGUUGAAUUUCGAGAUCAAAUUGUUGGUCGUGCCUUGGUACGCACUGGCAUUAUUGGUUUCUCCCUUCUGAAGAACCAUGAUGUCAUUAAUUUGGUGUCUUGGGGAAUCAGGACUGUUACUUUGAAAAAAUUAGAGUGUUUAAAGCAGGCUCGCGCUUGAAUACAUUAGCAUGGAAUAAUGAAAUAGGACGUUUGAUUCUAUUUUGUUGGUUUUUAGGAUCGACGUAAUGAUUAAUAGGGAUAGUUGGGGGCAUUAGUAUUCAAUUGUCAGAGGUGAAAUUCUUGGAUUUAUUGAAGACUAACUACUGCGAAAGCAUUUGCCAAGGAUGUUUUCAUUAAUCAAGAACGAAAGUUAGGGGAUCGAAGACGAUCAGAUACCGUCGUAGUCUUAACCAUAAACUAUGCCGACUAGGGAUCGGAUGAUGUUAAUUUUUUAAUGACUCAUUCGGCGCCUUACG